RNAcentral lists this ribosomal RNA (497 nucleotides) under uncultured bacterium. RNAcentral's name for it is "partial 16S ribosomal RNA". It matches the Rfam family "Bacterial small subunit ribosomal RNA", at positions 28 to 507 of the family's 1533-position model. The record is from RNAcentral.
GAUGAACGCUGGCGGCGUGCCUAAUACAUGCAAGUCGAGCGAACAGACGAGGAGCUUGCUUCUCUGAUGUUAGCGGCGGACGGGUGAGUAACACGUGGAUAACCUACCUAUAAGACUGGGAUAACUUCGGGAAACCGGAGCUAAUACCGGAUAAUAUUUUGAACCGCAUGGUUCAAAAGUGAAAGACGGUUUUGCUGUCACUUAUAGAUGGAUCCGCGCUGCAUUAGCUAGUUGGUAAGGUAACGGCUUACCAAGGCAACGAUGCGUAGCCGACCUGAGAGGGUGAUCGGCCACACUGGAACUGAGACACGGUCCAGACUCCUACGGGAGGCAGCAGUAGGGAAUCUUCCGCAAUGGGCGAAAGCUUGACGGAGCAACGCCGCGUGAGUGAUGAAGGUCUUCGGAUCGUAAAACUCUGUUAUUAGGGAAGAACAAAUGUGUAAGUAACUGUGCACGUCUUGACGGUACCUAAUCAGAAAGCCACGGCUAACUACGUG